This 1536-nucleotide ribosomal RNA is filed under the name Staphylococcus aureus. RNAcentral describes it as "16S ribosomal RNA". It matches the Rfam family "Bacterial small subunit ribosomal RNA". Lineage: Bacteria; Bacillati; Bacillota; Bacilli; Caryophanales; Staphylococcaceae. The record is from RNAcentral.
GAGUUUGAUCCUGGCUCAGGAUGAACGCUGGCGGCGUGCCUAAUACAUGCAAGUCGAGCGAACGGACGAGAAGCUUGCUUCUCUGAUGUUAGCGGCGGACGGGUGAGUAACACGUGGAUAACCUACCUAUAAGACUGGGAUAACUUCGGGAAACCGGAGCUAAUACCGGAUAAUAUUUUGAACCGCAUGGUUCAAAAGUGAAAGACGGUCUUGCUGUCACUUAUAGAUGGAUCCGCGCUGCAUUAGCUAGUUGGUAAGGUAACGGCUUACCAAGGCAACGAUGCAUAGCCGACCUGAGAGGGUGAUCGGCCACACUGGAACUGAGACACGGUCCAGACUCCUACGGGAGGCAGCAGUAGGGAAUCUUCCGCAAUGGGCGAAAGCCUGACGGAGCAACGCCGCGUGAGUGAUGAAGGUCUUCGGAUCGUAAAACUCUGUUAUUAGGGAAGAACAUAUGUGUAAGUAACUGUGCACAUCUUGACGGUACCUAAUCAGAAAGCCACGGCUAACUACGUGCCAGCAGCCGCGGUAAUACGUAGGUGGCAAGCGUUAUCCGGAAUUAUUGGGCGUAAAGCGCGCGUAGGCGGUUUUUUAAGUCUGAUGUGAAAGCCCACGGCUCAACCGUGGAGGGUCAUUGGAAACUGGAAAACUUGAGUGCAGAAGAGGAAAGUGGAAUUCCAUGUGUAGCGGUGAAAUGCGCAGAGAUAUGGAGGAACACCAGUGGCGAAGGCGACUUUCUGGUCUGUAACUGACGCUGAUGUGCGAAAGCGUGGGGAUCAAACAGGAUUAGAUACCCUGGUAGUCCACGCCGUAAACGAUGAGUGCUAAGUGUUAGGGGUUUCCGCCCCUUAGUGCUGCAGCUAACGCAUUAAGCACUCCGCCUGGGGAGUACGACCGCAAGGUUGAAACUCAAAGGAAUUGACGGGGACCCGCACAAGCGGUGGAGCAUGUGGUUUAAUUCGAAGCAACGCGAAGAACCUUACCAAAUCUUGACAUCCUUUGACAACUCUAGAGAUAGAGCCUUCCCCUUCGGGGGACAAAGUGACAGGUGGUGCAUGGUUGUCGUCAGCUCGUGUCGUGAGAUGUUGGGUUAAGUCCCGCAACGAGCGCAACCCUUAAGCUUAGUUGCCAUCAUUAAGUUGGGCACUCUAAGUUGACUGCCGGUGACAAACCGGAGGAAGGUGGGGAUGACGUCAAAUCAUCAUGCCCUUAUGAUUUGGGCUACACACGUGCUACAAUGGACAAUACAAAGGGCAGCGAAACCGCGAGGUCAAGCAAAUCCCAUAAAGUUGUUCUCAGUUCGGAUUGUAGUCUGCAACUCGACUACAUGAAGCUGGAAUCGCUAGUAAUCGUAGAUCAGCAUGCUACGGUGAAUACGUUCCCGGGUCUUGUACACACCGCCCGUCACACCACGAGAGUUUGUAACACCCGAAGCCGGUGGAGUAACCUUUUAGGAGCUAGCCGUCGAAGGUGGGACAAAUGAUUGGGGUGAAGUCGUAACAAGGUAGCCGUAUCGGAAGGUGCGGCUGGAUCACC